RNAcentral lists this ribosomal RNA (494 nucleotides) under uncultured bacterium. RNAcentral's name for it is "partial 16S ribosomal RNA". It matches the Rfam family "Bacterial small subunit ribosomal RNA", at positions 28 to 507 of the family's 1533-position model. The record is from RNAcentral.
GACGAACGCUGGCGGCGUGCUUAACACAUGCAAGUCGAACGGUGAAGCGCCUUCCUUUUUGGUGGGUGUGGAUGAGUGGCGAACGGGUGAGUAACACGUGAGUAACCUGCCCCCUUCUUCUGGAUAACCGCAUGAAAGUGUGGCUAAUACGGGAUAUUCUGGGUCUGUCGCAUGAUGGGUCUGGGAAAGAUAUUGUUUCGGUGGGGGAUGGGCUCGCGGCCUAUCAGCUUGUUGGUGGGGUGAUGGCCUACCGAGGCGGUGACGGGUAGCCGGCCUGAGAGGGUGGACGGUCGCACUGGGGCUGGGACACGGCCGAGACUCCUACGAGAGGCAGCAGGGGGGAAUAUUGCACAAUGGGCGCAAGCCUGAUGCAGCGACGCCGCGUGAGGGAUGGAGGCCUUCGGGUUGUGAACCUCUUUCGCCAGUGAAGCAGGCCUGCCUCGUUUGUGGGUGGGUUGACGGUAGCUGGAUAAGAAGCGCCGGCUAACUACGUG